RNAcentral lists this ribosomal RNA (892 nucleotides) under Mallocybe arenaria. Its description in RNAcentral is "partial large subunit ribosomal RNA". The record is from RNAcentral. Lineage: Eukaryota; Fungi; Basidiomycota; Agaricomycetes; Agaricales; Inocybaceae.
GAUUCCCCUAGUAACUGCGAGUGAAGCGGGAAAAGCUCAAAUUUAAAAUCUGACAGUUGUUUUGGCUGUCCGAGUUGUAAUCUAGAGAAGUGUCUACCCGCGCUGGACCGUGUACAAGUCUCCUGGAAUGGAGCAUCAUAGAGGGUGAGAAUCCCGUCUUUGACAUGGAUCUACCAGGGCUUUGUGGUGCACUCUCAAAGAGUCGAGUUGUUUGGGAAUGCAGCUCAAAAUGGGUGGUAAAUGCCAUCUAAAGCUAAAUAUUGGCGAGAGACCGAUAGCGAACAAGUACCGUGAGGGAAAGAUGAAAAGAACUUUGGAAAGAGAGUUAAACAGUACGUGAAAUUGCUGAAAGGGAAACGCUUGAAGUCAGUCGCAUCGACUGGAAAUCAACCUUGCUUUUGCAUGGUGUACUUUCUGGCUGAUGGGUCAGCAUCAAUUUUGAUUGCUGGAUAAAGGCUUGGGGAAUGUGGCAUCUUUGGAUGUGUUAUAGCCCCUGGCUGCAUACGGCAGUUGGGAUUGAGGAACUCAGCAUGCCGCAAGGCCGGGUCUUUUUGACCACRUAUAUGUGCUUAGGAUGCUGGCAUAAUGGCUUUAAUCGACCCGUCUUGAAACACGGACCAAGGAGUCUAACAUGCAUGCGAGUGUUUGGGUGGAAAACCCAUGCGCGCAAUGAAAGUGAAAGUUGAGAUCCCUGUCGUGGGGAGCAUCGACGCCCAGACCAGACCUUUUGUGACGGAUCUGCGGUAGAGCAUGUAUGUUGGGACCCGAAAGAUGGUGAACUAUGCCUGAAUAGGGUGAAGCCAGAGGAAACUCUGGUGGAGGCUCGURGCGAUUCUGACGUGCAAAUCGAUCGUCAAAUUUGGGUAUAGGGGCGAAAGACUAAUCGAACCAU